RNAcentral lists this transfer RNA (76 nucleotides) under Pedobacter sp. RNAcentral's name for it is "tRNA-Lys". It matches the Rfam family "tRNA". From Rfam's summary of the family: Transfer RNA (tRNA) molecules are approximately 80 nucleotides in length. Their secondary structure includes four short double-helical elements and three loops (D, anti-codon, and T loops). Lineage: Bacteria; Pseudomonadati; Bacteroidota; Sphingobacteriia; Sphingobacteriales; Sphingobacteriaceae. The record is from RNAcentral.
AGAAAAUUAGCUCAGCUGGUUUAUAGCAUCCCGAUUUUUAUCGGGAGGGUCUGGGGUUCGAAUCCCUCAUUUUCCA